GACGAACGCUGGCGGCGUGCUUAACACAUGCAAGUCGAACGGAAAGGCCCUGCUUGCAGGGUACUCGAGUGGCGAACGGGUGAGUAACACGUGGGUGAUCUGCCCUGCAUUUCGGGAUAAGCCUGGGAAACUGGGUCUAAUACCGGAUAGGAGCCAUUUUUAGUGUGAUGGUUGGAAAGUUUUUUCGGUGUAGGAUGAGCUCGCGGCCUAUCAGCUUGUUGGUGGGGUAAUGGCCUACCAAGGCGGCGACGGGUAGCCGGCCUGAGAGGGUGGACGGCCACAUUGGGACUGAGAUACGGCCCAGACUCCUACGGGAGGCAGCAGUGGGGAAUAUUGCACAAUGGGCGCAAGCCUGAUGCAGCGACGCCGCGUGGGGGAUGACGGCCUUCGGGUUGUAAACUCCUUUCGCUAGGGACGAAGCUUUUUGUGACGGUACCUAGAUAAGAAGCACCGGCUAACUACGUG
This 465-nucleotide ribosomal RNA is filed under the name uncultured bacterium. RNAcentral describes it as "partial 16S ribosomal RNA". It matches the Rfam family "Bacterial small subunit ribosomal RNA", at positions 28 to 507 of the family's 1533-position model. The record is from RNAcentral.